This 204-nucleotide unclassified non-coding RNA is filed under the name Hevea brasiliensis (rubber tree). The record is from RNAcentral. Lineage: Eukaryota; Viridiplantae; Streptophyta; Magnoliopsida; Malpighiales; Euphorbiaceae.
AUUGUCGUGAUCAUGAACGAUGAAUCGAAGUGCCACCAGAGCCACCAUGCCAAGCACGACGGCCAAAAAGGCCUUCACCUUCGGCGGCUGUCGCCGGACCCAUACCGACACGAUGUGGAUCGGAUUUCUUGCCGGCCUCAUGAAAUGAGAUGAGUGUAAUCCCUUCUUCUACUGUUCGGUUGCAGAGCUAACCGGAGGCGGCGG